RNAcentral lists this ribosomal RNA (520 nucleotides) under uncultured Glomus. RNAcentral describes it as "SSU rRNA". It matches the Rfam family "Eukaryotic small subunit ribosomal RNA", at positions 569 to 1089 of the family's 1831-position model. The record is from RNAcentral. Lineage: Eukaryota; Fungi; Glomeromycota; Glomeromycetes; Glomerales; Glomeraceae.
AGCAGCCGCGGUAAUUCCAGCUCCAAUAGCGUAUAUUAAAGUUGUUGCAGUUAAAAAGCUCGUAGUUGAAUUUCAGGAUCAAUAUGUUGGUCGUGCCUCGGUACGUACUAGCAUAUUGGUUUCUCCUUUCUGAAGAACCAUGAUGUCAUUUAUUUGGUGUCGUGGGGGAAAUCAGGACUGUUACUUUGAAAAAAUUAGAGUGUUUAAAGCAGGCUCACGCUUGAAUACAUUAGCAUGGAAUAAUGAAAUAGGACGUUUGAUUCUAUUUUGUUGGUUUCUAGGAUCGACGUAAUGAUUAAUAGGGAUAGUUGGGGGCAUUAGUAUUCAAUUGUCAGAGGUGAAAUUCUUGGAUUUAUUGAAGACUAACUACUGCGAAAGCAUUUGCCAAGGAUGUUUUCAUUAAUCAAGAGCGAAAGCUAGGGGAUCGAAGACGAUCAGAUACCGUCGUAGUCUUAACCAUAAACUAUGCCGACUAGGGAUCGGAUGAUGUUAAUUUUUUCAAUGACUCAUUCGGCGCCUU